This 511-nucleotide ribosomal RNA is filed under the name uncultured bacterium. RNAcentral describes it as "partial 16S ribosomal RNA". It matches the Rfam family "Bacterial small subunit ribosomal RNA", at positions 355 to 853 of the family's 1533-position model. The record is from RNAcentral.
UGGGGAAUUUUGGACAAUGGGCGAAAGCCUGAUCCAGCAAUGCCGCGUGUGUGAAGAAGGCCUUCGGGUUGUAAAGCACUUUUGUCCGGAAAGAAAAUCCUUGGCUCUAAUACAGUCGGGGGGAUGACGGUACCGGAAGAAUAAGCACCGGCUAACUACGUGCCAGCAGCCGCGGUAAUACGUAGGGUGCAAGCGUUAAUCGGAAUUACUGGGCGUAAAGCGUGCGCAGGCGGUUUGCUAAGACCGAUGUGAAAUCCCCGGGCUCAACCUGGGAACUGCAUUGGUGACUGGCAGGCUAGAGUAUGGCAGAGGGGGGUAGAAUUCCGCGUGUAGCAGUGAAAAUGCGUAGAGAUGUGGAGGAAUACCGAUGGCGAAGGCAGCCCCCUGGGCCAAAUACUGACGCUCAUGCACGAAAAGCGUGGGGAGCAAAACAGGAUUAGAUACCCUGGUAGUCCACGCCCUAAAACGAUGUCAACUAGUUGUGGGGAUUCAUUUCCUUAGUAACGUAGCU